UUUAAAAAAAAAAAGUGCUGAAUAGGAGAGACCACAAUCAAUUAAUUAAGUCUUGAGAUUUCGUUUUAGAUAAGUUUAACAAAUAUGGGCAGCAACAUUCCAAUAUAUUUAAAGGCUAUACGUACAGAUUUCCUCUCUUCUUAAUUGAAGUUUCUUAGGAGCUACAAAGGCAGCAACAAUGAUCCUUAACGAAAUAUGAAGAACAAACAUACGGGUUUUACUCACCUUUUCGAUCCGUUCCGUUUUGCCGUGUUGUUGACUCCGAGCUUUCAAGUAAGAAGAAGAUUAUUAUUUUUUUUUGCCAUAUUAGGCUAAAAGAGCGACGAGACGAACGGGUUACGAAUAGCCGCUAACAGGUACAGACGACAGGUUUGCUGAUCCGCCCGCUUACGACUUUAUUCUGUUAUUUUGGAGCGCUCCUUUAUCCGGAGCCUAUAUUUUUGUACAGUCUUCUGCUAUUGUAUAUAUGUACGCUAUUCAGGGGUACGACGGGGCCCUGUCCCGUCUUAUGAUUCUGUUAUGUUCUGUAGAGGUCUGUAGACAUACUUGUGUGGGUUCUGUAUAUGUUUUGGGUUGUUAUGAUCGGUGAUGGCCUUAUCGGCCUCUACGUGCAAAAUCUGUUCAUCUGUGAUAUUUAGUAGCGCCAACUAACCUUUAUAUUAAUAUAUUUUGAUAA
This is a long non-coding RNA of Lycium barbarum (goji berry), 676 nucleotides long. RefSeq lists it as uncharacterized. The record is from RefSeq and is a predicted model, not a curated record. The transcript is spliced from 3 exons. NCBI's taxonomy places the organism in Eukaryota, Viridiplantae, Streptophyta, Magnoliopsida, Solanales, Solanaceae.